RNAcentral lists this ribosomal RNA (433 nucleotides) under uncultured bacterium. Its description in RNAcentral is "partial 16S ribosomal RNA". It matches the Rfam family "Bacterial small subunit ribosomal RNA", at positions 29 to 507 of the family's 1533-position model. The record is from RNAcentral.
AACGAACGCUGGCGGCAUGCCUAACACAUGCAAGUCGAACGAGACCUUCGGGUUUAGUGGCGCACGGGUGCGUAACGCGUGGGAACCUGCCCUUAGGUUCGGAAUAACUCCCCGAAAGGGGUGCUAAUACCGGAUAAUGUCUUCGGACCAAAGAUUUAUCGCCUUUGGAUGGGCCCGCGUUGGAAUAGCUAGUUGGUAGGGUAAAAGCCUACCAAGGCGACGAUCCAUAGCUGGUCUGAGAGGAUGAUCAGCCACACUGGGACUGAGACACGGCCCAGACUCCUACGGGAGGCAGCAGUGGGGAAUAUUGGACAAUGGGCGAAAGCCUGAUCCAGCAAUGCCGCGUGAGUGAUGAAGGCCUUAGGGUUGUAAAGCUCUUUUACCCGGGAUGAUAAUGACAGUACCGGGAGAAUAAGCUCCGGCUAACUCCGUG